RNAcentral lists this transfer RNA (77 nucleotides) under Streptomyces nanshensis. Its description in RNAcentral is "tRNA-Pro". It matches the Rfam family "tRNA". From Rfam's summary of the family: Transfer RNA (tRNA) molecules are approximately 80 nucleotides in length. Their secondary structure includes four short double-helical elements and three loops (D, anti-codon, and T loops). Lineage: Bacteria; Bacillati; Actinomycetota; Actinomycetes; Kitasatosporales; Streptomycetaceae. RNAcentral also lists the same sequence under 1 other name. The record is from RNAcentral.
CGGGACGUGGCGCAGUUUGGUAGCGCACUUGACUGGGGGUCAAGGGGUCGUGGGUUCAAAUCCCGCCGUCCCGACCG